Long non-coding RNA from Daphnia magna, 803 nucleotides. RefSeq lists it as uncharacterized. The record is from RefSeq and is a predicted model, not a curated record. The transcript is spliced from 2 exons. NCBI's taxonomy places the organism in Eukaryota, Metazoa, Arthropoda, Branchiopoda, Diplostraca, Daphniidae.
UUUCCUUUAAAAAAGAAAACAAAAUAUCUAUAAACUAAGAUAAAUACAAACGAAGAAACCUGCAAAUAUAUGUUACAGCAUGGUCGGCCCUCUUGCGUGACCUACAUUCAACAAACAUCGACUGCUUUUUUUUCUCACCUUCAGCCAACGAAUCAAUGACCUCAAAAUCGAUGAAAACUUAAUUGCAUCGGUCAGUUAAUUUCACAAAAUCAUCAAAGAGUUUCACUCUUGCUAGUUUAACCAAUUUUCAAUUAGAAAUAAAGGACGUAACAAUACGUUUUAUGUAAUAAACUCGUAACCCCAAAUGGGGAAAACAGCACUCAUAUGGAACUGGAAAAAACAUGGCCUAGAAACGUCUUAUCUAACUUGGGGGCGGGGUUGACUCAUAUUUCGCUAGUAUGGCCAAACAAACAACUGAAAGAGCUCGAUUGCUUCUUUCUGUGAGCAAGAAAGAAAAAAAUGAAACUAAUGCACAUCUUCUUUCAAGAGUGGUAGAGAAACAAGCCAUCAUUCGACUGUAACAGAAACCUGACUCGAAAGGCUACCAAUUAUGCAGGAUAGGCCGACUACGAACUGUCAGCCUGGGUACAGCAAAAUGCUGCGUUGCCUUGUCAACUUGAUCUUGUUGCUAAGGGAAACUGACUUCCAUUUGAUUAGGGCGAUGCAGCCUCUUGCGUCUCCUCUUUCGGUCAGUUCUCCAAACAAUGACAAAAUGCUAAACUCAGCUAUCUAAAAGGACGCUCAAUAUACUCAUAUCUAUAAAGCGUAACCUUUUGCUUAUUUUUACAUCAUUUUUCUGUAAG